RNAcentral lists this ribosomal RNA (512 nucleotides) under uncultured bacterium. RNAcentral's name for it is "bacterial SSU rRNA". It matches the Rfam family "Bacterial small subunit ribosomal RNA", at positions 9 to 514 of the family's 1533-position model. The record is from RNAcentral.
GAGUUUGAUCUUGGCUCAGAUUGAACGCUGGCGGCAGGCCUAACACAUGCAAGUCGAGCGGUAGAGAGAAGCUUGCUUCUCUUGAGAGCGGCGGACGGGUGAGUAAUGCCUGGGAAUCUGCCUGGUAGUGGGGGAUAACGGCUCGGAAACGGACGCUAAUACCGCAUACGUCCUACGGGAGAAAGCAGGGGACCUUCGGGCCUUGGCGCUAUCAGAUGAGCCUAGGUCGGAUUAGCUAGUUGGUGAGGUAAUGGCUCACCAAGGCGACGAUCCGUAACUGGUCUGAGAGGAUGAUCAGUCACACUGGAACUGAGACACGGUCCAGACUCCUACGGGAGGCAGCAGUGGGGAUAUUGGACAAUGGGCGAAAGGCCUGAUCCAGCCAUGCCGCGUGUGUGAAGAAGGUCUUCGGAUUGUAAAGCACUUUAAGUUGGGAGGAAGGGCAGUAAAUUAAUACUUUGCUGUUUUGACGUUACCGACAGAAUAAGCACCGGCUAACUCUGUGACAGCAC